This 207-nucleotide ribosomal RNA is filed under the name uncultured bacterium. RNAcentral's name for it is "partial 16S ribosomal RNA". It matches the Rfam family "Bacterial small subunit ribosomal RNA", at positions 568 to 774 of the family's 1533-position model. The record is from RNAcentral.
CGCGCAGGCGGUCGUUCAAGUCGAGUGUGAAAGCCCCCGGCUCAACUGGGGAGGGUCAUUCGAUACUGAUCGACUCGAAGGCAGGAGAGGGAAGCGGAAUUCCCGGUGUAGUGGUGAAAUGCGUAGAUAUCGGGAGGAACACCAGUGGCGAAGGCGGCUUCCUGGCCUGUUCUUGACGCUGAGGCGCGAAAGCUAGGGGAGCAAACG